CUUAAAAUCCCUCUAAGAGUGAAGAUAUUCGGUUGGUUCCUAAACAGAAGGGUCAUCUUAACUAGAGAUAAUCUGGCACGUCGCAACUGGCAAGGCACCAAGGCGUGUGUCUUUUGUCAACAUGACGAGUCUAUUAAGCACUUACUUUUUGAGUGUAAGUUCGCUCGGGCGGUUUGGGCCAUAGUUCAAGUAGCUUCAUAUCUAUACCCACCACGUAGUGCACGUAAUAUGUUCGGCAACUGGUUGAGGGGUAUUGAUAAACAAUUUUCUGCACACAUAUUCUUGUGGGGGCGGCUGCCUUAUGCUGGGCAUUAUGGCUUACCAGGAAUGAUGUGGUUUUCAAUAAAAAAUGUGUUUCAUAUCCUAUGUAGGUUAUUCAUGUAUGUAUGCGAUGGCUCCGUACUUGGUCUAUCCUGCAGAGGCCGGAGGACAUGGACCUUUUUAUGA
Molecule: ribosomal RNA, 447 nt
Filed under: Triticum aestivum (bread wheat)
Lineage: Eukaryota; Viridiplantae; Streptophyta; Magnoliopsida; Poales; Poaceae
Description: partial small subunit ribosomal RNA
Source: RNAcentral